This 781-nucleotide ribosomal RNA is filed under the name uncultured soil archaeon. RNAcentral describes it as "bacterial SSU rRNA". It matches the Rfam family "Archaeal small subunit ribosomal RNA", at positions 79 to 843 of the family's 1478-position model. The record is from RNAcentral.
CGUAAUACGGCUCAGUAACAUGUGGCUAACCUGCCCUCUGGACGGACCCACCCCCGUUAAACUGGGGAUAAUGUCCGAUAGGCGAAGAGGCCUGGAAUGGUUCUUCACUCCAAAGGUGUUGGGAUCAUGCUAUUCAACGUCGCCAGAGGAUGGGGCCGCAACCGAUCAGGCUGUAGGCGAGGUAACGGCUCACCAAACCCUCAACCGGUACGGGCCGCGGCAGCGAUAGCCCGGAUAUGGGCACUGAGACAAGGGCCCAGGCCCUACGGGGCGCAGCAGUCGCGCAAACUUUGCAAUACACGAAAGCGUGACAGGGCUAUCCCGAGUGCCGUCCGCUGAGGAUGGCUUUUCUCCGGUGUAGUGAGCCGGAGGAAUAAGGAGAGGGCAAGUCUGGUGUCAGCAGCCGCGGUAAUACCAGCUCUCCGAGUGGUAGGGACGAUUAUUGGGCCUAAAGCGUCCGUAGCCGGCUAUACAAGUUUCCCGUUAAAUCCAGCGAUCUAAUCGUUGGCAUGCGGGAUAUACUGUUUGGCUAGGGGGCGAGAGAGACCAACGGUAUUCCCGGGGUAGGGAUGAAAUCUUAUAAUCCCGGGAGGACCACCAGUGGCGAUAGCUGUUGGCUAGAACGCGCUCGACGGUGAGGGACGUAAGCUGGGGGAGCGAACCGGAUUAGAUACCCGGGUAGUCCCAGCUGUAUACGAUGUAGACUAGGUGUUAGGGCGGUUACGAGCCGCGCUAGUGCCGCAGGAAAGCCAUUAAGUCUNCCGCCUGGGGAUUAGCCCGG